ACAAAGGCUCUUUUAAGAGCCACAUCACUCUUUUAAAUG
Molecule: non-coding RNA, 39 nt
Organism: Takifugu rubripes (torafugu)
Lineage: Eukaryota; Metazoa; Chordata; Actinopteri; Tetraodontiformes; Tetraodontidae
Source: Rfam